AAGCUCGUAGUUGAAUUUCGAGAUCAGUACGCUGGUCGUGCCUUCGGUAUGCACUGGUGUCACUGGUUUCUCCCUUCUGAAGAACCGUCAUGUCAUUAAGUUGAUGUGGCGGGGAAUCAGGACUGUUACUUUGAAAAAAUUAGAGUGUUUAAAGCAGGCUCGCGCUUGAAUACAUUAGCAUGGAAUAAUGAAAUAGGACGUUUGACCCUAUUUUGUUGGUUUCUAGGAUCGACGUAAUGAUUAAUAGGGAUAGUUGGGGGCAUUAGUAUUCAAUUGUCAGAGGUGAAAUUCUUGGAUUUAUUGAAGACUAACUACUGCGAAAGCAUUUGCCAAGGAUGUUUUCAUUAAUCAAGAACGAAAGUUAGGGGAUCGAAGACGAUCAGAUACCGUCGUAGUCUUAACCAUAAACUAUGCCGACUAGGGAUCGGAUGAUGUUAAUUUUUUAAUGACUCAUUCGGCGCCUUACGGGAAACCAAAGUGUUUGGGUUCCGGGGGGAGUAUGGUCGCAAGGCUGAAACUUAAAGGAAUUGACGGAAGGGCACCACCAGGGGUGGAGCCUGCGGCUUAAUUUGACUCAACACGGGAAAACUCACCAGGUCCAGACAUAGUUAGGAUUGACAGAUUGAGAGCUCUUUCUUGAUUCUAUGGGUG
This 651-nucleotide ribosomal RNA is filed under the name uncultured Glomus. RNAcentral describes it as "SSU rRNA". It matches the Rfam family "Eukaryotic small subunit ribosomal RNA", at positions 624 to 1276 of the family's 1831-position model. The record is from RNAcentral. Lineage: Eukaryota; Fungi; Glomeromycota; Glomeromycetes; Glomerales; Glomeraceae.